UUUAGCUCACCUGACCUGAAAGGUCAAGUGAGCUUUUCUCAUCACUUUGCGUCAGUCGUCCGUCGUCCUGCGUCCGUCAUCCGUCGUCCGUCGUCCGUAAACUUUUACAAAAAUCUUCUCCUCUGAAACUACUGGGCCAAAUUUAACCAAACUUGGCCACAAUCAUCAUUGGGGUAUCUAGUUUUAAAAAUGUGUGGCGUGACCCUGUCAACCAACCAAGAUGGCCGCCACGGCUAAAAAUAGAACAUAGGGGUAAAAUGCAGUUUUUAGCUUAUAACUCAAAAUCCAAAGCAUUAAGAGCAAAUCUGACGGGGUAAAAUUGUUCAUCAGGUCAAGAUCUAUCUGCCCUGAAAUUUUCAGAUGAAUCGGACAACCCGUUAUUGGGUUGCUGCCCCUGAAUUGGUAAUUUUAAGGAAAUUUUGCUGUUUUUGGUUAUUAUCUUGAAUAUUAUUAUAGAUAGAGAUAAACUGUAAACAGCAAUAAUGUUCAGCAAAGUAAGAUUUACAAAUAAGUCAAUAUAACCGAAAUGGUCAGUUGACCCCUUUAGGAGAAAUUGCCCUUUAUAGUCAAUUUUUAACCAUUUUUCGUAAAUCUUAGUAAUCUUUUACAAAAAUCUUCUCCUCUGAAACAACUGGGCCAAAUUAAACCAAACUUGGCCACAAUCAUCAUUUGGUUAUUUAGUUUAAAAAAUGUGUGGCGUGACCCGGCCAACCAACCAAGAUGGCCGCCACAGCUAAAAAUAAAACAUAGGGGUAAAAUGCAGUUUUUGGCUUAUAACUCAAAAACCAAAGCAUUUAGAGCAAAUCUGACAUGAAGUAAAAUUGUUUAUCAGGUCAAGAUCUAUCUGCCCUGAAAUUUUCAGAUAAAUCGGACAACCCGUUAUUGGGUUGCUAGCCCUGAAUUGGUAAUUUUAAGGAAAUUUUGCUGUUUUUGGUUAUUAUCUUGAAUAUUAUUAUAGAUCGAGAUAAACUGUAAACAGCAAUAAUGUUCAGCAAAGUAAGAUUUACAAAUAAGUCAAUAUAACCGAAAUGGUCAGUUGACCCCUUUAGGAGUAAUUGCCCUUUAUAGUCAAUUUUUAACCAUUUUUCGUAAAUCUUAGUAAUCUUUUACAAAAAUCUUCUCCUCUGAAACAACUGGGCCAAAUUAAACCAAACUUGGCCACAAUCAUCAUUUGGUUAUUUAGUUUAAAAAAUGUGUGGCGUGACCCGGCCAACCAACCAAGAUGGCCGCCACAGCUAAAAAUAAAACAUAGGGGUAAAAUGCAGUUUUUGGCUUAUAACUCAAAAACCAAAGCAUUUAGAGCAAAUCUGACAUGAAGUAAAAUUGUUUAUCAGGUCAAGAUCUAUCUGCCCUGAAAUUUUCAGAUAAAUCGGACAACCCGUUAUUGGGUUGCUAGCCCUGAAUUGGUAAUUUUAAGGAAAUUUUGCUGUUUUUGGUUAUUAUCUUGAAUAUUAUUAUAGAUCGAGAUAAACUGUAAACAGCAAUAAUGUUCAGCAAAGUAAGAUUUACAAAUAAGUCAAUAUAACCGAAAUGGUCAGUUGACCCCUUUAGGAGUAAUUGCCCUUUAUAGUCAAUUUUUAACCAUUUUUCGUAAAUCUUAGUAAUCUUUUACAAAAAUCUUCUCCUCUGAAACAACUGGGCCAAAUUAAACCAAACUUGGCCACAAUCAUCAUUUGGUUAUUUAGUUUUAAAAAUGUGUGGCGUGACCUGGUCAACCAACCAAGAUGGCCGCCAUGGCUAAAAAUAGAACAUAGGGGUAAAAUUCAGUUUUUGGCUUUUAACUCAAAAACCAAAGCAUUUAAAGCAAAUCUGACAUGAAGUAAAAUUGUUUAUCAGGUCAAGAUCUAUCUGCCCUGAAAUUUUCAGAUGAAUCGGACAACCCGUUGUUGGGUUGCUGCUCCUGAAUUGGUAAUUUUAAGGUAAUUUUGCUGUUUUUGGUUAUUAUCUUGAAUAUUAUUAUAGAUAGAGAUAAACUGUAAAAAACGAUAAAUGUCGGCAAAGUAAGAUCUACAAAUAAGUCAACAUGACCGAAAUUGUCAGUUGACCCCUUUAGGAGUUAUUGCCCUUUAUAGUCAAUUUUAACCAUUUUUUCGUAAAUCUUAGUAAUCUUUUACAAAAAUCUUCUCCUCUGAAACUACUGGGCCAAGUUAAUUAUAGAUAGAGAUAAUUGUAAGCAGGAAGAAUGUUCAGUAAAUUAAGAUGUACAAACACAUCACCAUCACCAAAACACAAUUUUGUCAUGAAUCCAUCUGCGUCCUUUGUUUAAUAUUCACAUAGACCAAGGUGAGCGACACAGGCUCUUUAGAGCCUCUAGUUUUAUUUGGUGUUUCUAUAGAAUAUUUUGGAAACUUGAGGUUACAUGGUUACUGAAGCUUGUACACAGGAAAAAAAGAGGUGAAAAUUUGAUUGGUUAACUUCCAGUGAUGGUUAUUUUCUUAUAUGCAGUGAAAUGUUAUGUGAAAUUUUGUCUAUAGUACUGGACAGGAUAAAACUUUACUCAUGCCAAGUAUUACUUUAUUUGAAACAAAGAUAAAUUCUGCACAAUUUUUUGAAAAGUGCAAAUUUAACAAAGACUAAUAGGGGAAAAUCAAUGGUGGUAUUACACCUG
This is a long non-coding RNA of Mytilus californianus (California mussel), 2608 nucleotides long. RefSeq lists it as uncharacterized. The record is from RefSeq and is a predicted model, not a curated record. Lineage: Eukaryota; Metazoa; Mollusca; Bivalvia; Mytilida; Mytilidae. The transcript has 3 exons.